AAAUAAAUUGAUGGCCAUAGGAGAAGCACUCAUGUUGUGGGCCCUGUCAGAUUCCAAUGAAUCUGCUCAAUUUUGCU
Molecule: ribozyme, 77 nt
Filed under: Crocodylus porosus (Australian saltwater crocodile)
Lineage: Eukaryota; Metazoa; Chordata; Crocodylia; Crocodylidae
Description: Mammalian CPEB3 ribozyme (ENSCPRG00005014133.1)
Rfam family: Mammalian CPEB3 ribozyme
About the family: The mammalian CPEB3 ribozyme is a self cleaving RNA located in the second intron of the CPEB3 gene which belongs to a family of genes regulating messenger RNA polyadenylation.
Source: RNAcentral